Molecule: long non-coding RNA, 1530 nt
Filed under: Rhinolophus ferrumequinum (greater horseshoe bat)
Lineage: Eukaryota; Metazoa; Chordata; Mammalia; Chiroptera; Rhinolophidae
Description: lncRNA (ENSRFEG00010006885.1)
Source: RNAcentral
CAAACAAAAAAAACCCUCUGGAGGGAUGAGUCGCUGGCGAGUGCGGCUGCAGGCGCCUCCGUGCCACGGAUUUUAAAAGGGGACGCGAGGGGAAGGAACGAGAAGAGGGCUACGUAGAGAAAGAGUUAGAACCCCCCAAAGGGCGCCGCGGGGCACCUGGUCUGCUCCGAGCCCGGCUCCCAGGGGCACUCGGUCGGCAGCAGCUCGGGUCCUUUUGUUACCCCAAAGCAGCCAGCGAUAUGCACAAUCUCCGCACUUUUAGUUUCUCUCUCUCCCUCUCUUCCCAACGUGGAUGUAGACGAGGAACUGGAUUGCUAAGGUGGGAGCUGCAGCGCCGGGUCCCCCGGAGCAAUCCCCACGCAGGCUUCCGACUCGCAGACGAGGCGGUGGAGCCCUGCUCUAGUUGGUGCAAUCUUCGCCGAGCGCACGGCUGCGGAUUGCUCUCCGCGCGUUAGAAACCCAACAAAAAGAAAAAGGAAAUCAGCACGGGUCUACCGGCUCGCGCCGCUCGGCAGACGGAAUCCGCGCUGCACCCCCUUUUUUGGUGGAAAGGGUGGGGGGCGUGGAAGGGGGGGUGCCGGAGAGGGUAGUUACCUACGAUUUAACUGUAGAUGGCGUCUGAGGCUUUUCCAAGAUCGCAAGAGCUCUCCCAAAAUUAAACAAACAGACAAAAAAAUAGCAAGGGAGCAUUUAACUUAGAGCGGUCAACGCUGCCAACAAAAGAUUGCAAAAGCUGGGUGCAGAGUAGUGGCGCGGGCCAUGCGCAGGUACCGCGACAAAGCCCAGGGCUCGGCGGGCCGGGCGGAGGUCAGCACAGGCUCAUGCUGUCGCCAGCCGCUCGCUCGCGCUCCUGGUCGUCCUCCGAAUACUGGGAGAAGUGCGGGCAGGGACCGGGGCAGAUCAGUGCUCUCCGAUUUCCCCAGCCCGAGCGUCCAGGGAUCCUCCGGGCGCUGGUAGGGGAUGCGCCCCCAGCCCUGCUCACUCGCCGCGCUCCUUUCCCGCUGGGUACCUGGAUCUUGCCUCGGAAAAAUUUGCAACCACUCGGUCUCCCCCUACCCUACACCCGACUGCCUGGCCGGGCUGAUAUGGACCACAAGUGAUGACAUUCAUCUUUCUCAAACAACUCUACAGUAAGUCAUACCUAGUCUUAAAAAUCGGCGACAAACUUCCAGGAUAAACAUAGAGAAUGCUGACCCAUGCUGAUAUGCAGGCUGUGGACCACACAACUCCAGACUGUUUCAUUCCCAUUGAGGUCUCUGUGCGUGGCACCCCUGGACUUGUGCAAAACGCAAUCUUCUUGGCCACACGUGGAACCUUGAGCUUAGACAAAUUGGGCUGGAGGGAACCUCCCAGCCACUUCACCUCCACUCGUCUCGGUUACACACCCACCAGCUUCUCAUCAUUUUGUGGACUCCAGUCCCCACCUCUAUGCCCACUGAGAGUCCUCCCAUAAUAGUAAUUUCUUUUCUCAAUCUGUUUUAAACAGUUCGCGUUUGGAAAGCAGUUGUUUAUUUACAAGGUGAUUCCUAG